UUUUUUGAUUUUAAAUAGUGUGUAAUGUUGCUGUUAGUGCAUGAAGAGUAUCUGUAAAGUUGCAGCGCUGAAAGUUCAGUGUGUAAUGGGACAAGGUUGGGGAACUACAAGUCCCACCAGCCCCCAGCGCUAUAUAAGGAAGUAGUGAGGUUUGUUUGUCCUCUCACUUCCUUUCCGUGAUCGUGUGUUGUGGAGGUCGUGUGUGUUGUGGAGGCGGCACACUUAAAGCUGCAAAGGUUAGUAAGUAGAGAGAUUAGUUUGCUCUUAUUUCUUUUUUUUUGCAGCGAUUGAGUUAUGUGUGCAGGUCACGACAGAUUGAGCCCUUCAGAAGGAUAGUAGCAGAUAAGCAGUUAUGUUAACGUCAUGGAGAACUGAGUACUUGUUACACACCAUUUAGGAGGUAGUAGUUUUAUUAUUUUAUCUAAUUGUUUUUUAGGAUUUUGUUUUAAUAAUUUUAUUGUUCUUUGGUUUUUAGUGUUUUUGCUGGAUUAUUGCCUGACUGAUUGUUGCCUGAGUGCCAGUCAGAAAUAUCGGAUGUUUGAGGUAUUGUUUUAUUAAAGGGAACUUUUGAUAAUGUUUUUUCCAUCUGUGCAUAAUUUAUAUUGGGUUUUAUUUUGUGUUUUUUUGUACAUUGUAUAUAAUUCCCUGUUGUAAUUAAUUGUGUUUUCCCUUAGAGGUUACCGUUUACUUUAGAUUGAAUUUUCUUUGGUUUAUUUAUUAUUUUGUCUUAUGUUGGACCAAGUGGGAAAACCCCAGACCAUAAACUAAGUGUGAUGGUUCAAUGGUGCUGCUGACUUGUUUGUCCUACUGGCAUUACCCACGGUUAAUCUUUUUUCUUUCCUUUUUGUAGAUUUCUUUUUUCCCAACGAUGGCUGCGUGGUUACCCUCACUGUAUGGAUGGCGGUGGUGAGGUGGCUGGGAUCGUGUGGUUUAAGUCACUUUAUUUGUAUUUUUGCCUUUAGGGAUGCAGUGUGAUUGCUGUGAGUUUUGCUGUGGUGAGAGCACUUUUCAGGACUACUGCCUUCACGAUAUAGAUUGUGCUUAGGGAUUCCCAUCCUGUGCAGUUACAAAGCUGCAUAUGUUCCUGUGUGGCAGGUACAGCUUUAUGUAACCAUGUGGCAGCACUUUUGUACCAGACUGCACAUUAUUCCCAGCUGAAGAUCACCUUGGUUCCCCCAACACACAGUUGCACAGAGACUGAACAGAAGUGGCAUAAACCAAGAACCAUGCUAAUCAACUUUUCUAAUAUGGUACCUUGAGCUAAUUUAUGUACAUUUAUGUGUACUAUAAAACCUUUUCUUCUUUAAAUGCAGGGAAUUAAACCUGGUCCAGUAAAUGACAUGGUGAUUCUUUCAGCCAGACCUAAGGAACGAAGAUUGGUAGAAGGAGCAACUUGUAUAAGGGGGUGAGUUCACCUCUGCCUGAACUUUCCUCACUCAGGGUGGAUGAAGUCUACCAUGACCUUCCCAGUGACGUUGCUCCACUGAUAACAACAAUGGCGAUAGAGUAGCUCUGGUUGACUCAGUGUUUGGGAAAGUGCAAGAAGGAAGUGUGUUAUCGUAUCACAUGCCAGCAAAGACAAUGCCAAAGACCUGUCCACACACAGAUGCCCCUUCUCCCCCUCAGUUGCCACUUCAUAAUUACAGGCUGGGACCCUCUAAUUGUUCUUUCGUCUGCACUGAACAUCAGCAGCUUCACAUGAUGUCCCUUGCAACGACAUUGGAGACAGCAUACAAAAUCGAGAACAGUACAAAAAAGCAGAGUUCCUGCAGUGAGUGGCACCAACUAAGGCGGCCCCGCAUCACCACUUCCAAAAUAAGAGAGGUCUGUCACACCAGGAGAAAAUCUAGCGAAAAGACUUCUCAAACCUAGUCAUCAGACUGCAGACAUGAGGAGGGGACUUGACUUGGAACCAGCAUCUGUAGAGGGGUACUGCAGAGUGAAGGAGGUGAAGCACUAUACCUGUGGGUUCCUGAUCCACCCUGACGCACCCUGGAUGGGAUCAUCACCAGAUGGGAUCGUGUACGAUCCAAAAGGCGAGCCAGUGUUUGGGAUUGUUGAAAUUAAAUGCCCAAAUGUGGCAAGUUUUGUUGACACUCCAUAUAUUAAGAUCAGUGAGGGCACACACACAUUAAGGAAAUCUCAUCCGUACUUUUGGCAGGUCCAGGGACAGAUGUUGAUUUCUGGAUUUGACUGGUGUGACUUUGUUGUCUAUACACACGAAGACAUGUACAUCCAGAGGAUUCCCAGAGACAAGGAAAUCACCCGAACAAUUAAAGAAAAAACUGACUAUUUCUUUUAUUUUUACAUCUGUGCUUAUCUGGAUAAUUAGUUUGUGACAGGACUGCACCAUCACCUUACUUUUUACUGCUAUUGUGCUGUACAGAAUGACGAGGGCAUUGUACUGUAGUUCACUACUGGAGCACAAUGUAACGCAGUGUGACAACAUGCCCCAACUGCACAACUGAGGUUUAAACCCUGCUUGUGUCUUCUGCAAGUUAGCGAAGCAAUAAAGAACUAUAUCAACUGUUAAACAACAGAUUAGAGAUAUAUCAGAAAUAUCAGAUUUGUCUAAUUUUAAUUAAACACAAAAAAUAGAGAUGAAAAAUUAACUUAUGUAAGAAAUGUACUUUUGCUAUGGUUAAAUAAAUGUUCAGUGAUAUCUUACAAA
Non-coding RNA from Pimephales promelas (fathead minnow), 2671 nucleotides. The record is from RefSeq and is a predicted model, not a curated record. Lineage: Eukaryota; Metazoa; Chordata; Actinopteri; Cypriniformes; Leuciscidae.